This 506-nucleotide ribosomal RNA is filed under the name uncultured bacterium. RNAcentral's name for it is "partial 16S ribosomal RNA". It matches the Rfam family "Bacterial small subunit ribosomal RNA", at positions 30 to 523 of the family's 1533-position model. The record is from RNAcentral.
AUUGAACGCUGGCGGUAGGCCUAACACAUGCAAGUCGAACGGCAGCACAGGAGAGCUUGCUCUCUGGGUGGCGAGUGGCGGACGGGUGAGGAAUACAUCGGAAUCUACCUUUUCGUGGGGGAUAACGUAGGGAAACUUACGCUAAUACCGCAUACGACCUUCGGGUGAAAGCAGGGGACCUUCGGGCCUUGCGCGGAUAGAUGAGCCGAUGUCGGAUUAGCUAGUUGGCGGGGUAAAGGCCCACCAAGGCGACGAUCCGUAGCUGGGCUGAGAGGAUGAUCAGCCACACUGGAAGUGAGACACGCUCCAGACUCCUACGGGAGGCAGCAGUGGGGAAUAUUGGACAAUGGGCGCAAGCCUGAUCCAGCCAUGCCGCGUGGGUGAAGAAGGCCUUCGGGUUGUAAAGCCCUUUUGUUGGGAAAGAAAAGCAGCCAGUUAAUACCUGGUUGUUCUGACGGUACCCAAAGAAUAAGCACCGGCUAACUUCGUGCCAGCCGCCGCCGUAA